RNAcentral lists this ribosomal RNA (446 nucleotides) under uncultured bacterium. RNAcentral describes it as "partial 16S ribosomal RNA". It matches the Rfam family "Bacterial small subunit ribosomal RNA", at positions 338 to 795 of the family's 1533-position model. The record is from RNAcentral.
CCUACGGGAGGCAGCAGUAGGGAAUUUUCGGCAAUGGGGGGAACCCUGACCGAGCAACGCCGCGUGAACGAAGAAGUUAUUCGUAAUGUAAAGUUCUUUUAACAGGGAAGAAAGAGAAAUUUGACGGUACCUGAAGAAUAAGCUCCGGCUAACUACGUGCCAGAUGCCGCGGUAAUACUAAGGGGGAGAGCGUAUUCCGGAAUUAUUGGGCGAAAGGGGUGCGUAGAUGGCAUAGUAAGUCUUUGGUAAAACUGCUGGGCUCAACCCAGUAGGGCAAAAGAUACUGCACAGCUAGAGUAUGACAGAGGCAGGUGGAACUACAUGUGUAGCGGUAAAAUGCGUAAAUAUAUGUAAGAACACCAGUGGCGAAGGCGGCUUGCUGGGUCGAUACUGACAUUGAGGCACGAAAGCGUGGGGAGCAAACAGGAUUAGAUACCCGAGUAGUC